GAAAUGCGAUAAGUAAUGUGAAUUGCAGAAUUCAGUGAAUCAUCGAAUCUUUGAACGCACAUUGCGCCCGCCAGUAUUCUGGCGGGCAUGCCUGUUCGAGCGUCAUUUCAACCAUCAAGCCCCCCGGCUUGUGUUGGGGACCUGCGGCUGCGGCAGGCCCUGAAAAGCAGUGGCGGGCUCGCUGUCACACCGAGCGUAGUAGCAUACAUCUCGCUCUGGGCGUGCUGCGGGUUCCGGCCGUUAAACCACCUUCGUAACCCAAGGUUGACCUCGGAUCAGGUAGGAAGACCCGCUGAACUUAAGC
RNAcentral lists this unclassified non-coding RNA (304 nucleotides) under plant metagenome. Its description in RNAcentral is "partial contains 5.8S ribosomal RNA, internal transcribed spacer 2, and large subunit ribosomal RNA". The stretch from base 1 to 105 matches the Rfam family "5.8S ribosomal RNA", at positions 50 to 154 of the family's 154-position model. The record is from RNAcentral.